GCCAGGUGUGGUGGCGUGUGCCUGUAAUCCCAGCUACUUGGGGGGCUGAGGUAGGAGGAUUGCUUGAAUCCAGGAGGUUGAGGCUGCAGUGAGCCAAGAUCACCCCACUGCACUCCAGCCUGGGUAACAGAGUGAGACCCUGUCUCAA
RNAcentral lists this non-coding RNA (148 nucleotides) under Gorilla gorilla gorilla (western lowland gorilla). Lineage: Eukaryota; Metazoa; Chordata; Mammalia; Primates; Hominidae. The record is from Rfam by way of RNAcentral.